UUGAACGCUGGCGGCAUGCCUUACACAUGCAAGUCGAACGGCAGCACGGGAGCAAUCCUGGUGGCGAGUGGCGAACGGUGAGUAAUGUAUCGGAACGUACCUUUCAGUGUGGGAUAACGUAGCGAAAGUUACGCUAAUACCGCAUAUUCUGUGAGCAGGAAAGCAGGGGAUCGCAAGACCUUGCGCUGAUUGAGCGGCCGAUAUCAGAUUAGCUAGUUGGUGAGGUAAAGGCUCACCAAGGCGACGAUCUGUAGCGGGUCUGAGAGGAUGAUCCGCCACACUGGAACUGAGACACGGUCCAGACUCCUACGGGAGGCAGCAGUGGGGAAUUUUGGACAAUGGGCGCAAGCCUGAUCCAGCCAUGCCGCGUGAGUGAAGAAGGCCUUCGGGUUGUAAAGCUCUUUCAGCCGGGAAGAAAACGCAUGGGUUAAUACCCUGUGUGGAUGACGGUACCGGAAUAAGAAGCACCGGCUAACUACGUG
This 482-nucleotide ribosomal RNA is filed under the name uncultured bacterium. Its description in RNAcentral is "bacterial SSU rRNA". It matches the Rfam family "Bacterial small subunit ribosomal RNA", at positions 30 to 507 of the family's 1533-position model. The record is from RNAcentral.